AGCGUACACGGUGGAUGCCCUGGCAGUCAGAGGCGAUGAAGGACGUGCUAAUCUGCGAUAAGCGUCGGUAAGGUGAUAUGAACCGUUAUAACCGGCGAUUUCCGAAUGGGGAAACCCAGUGUGUUUCGACACACUAUCAUUAACUGAAUCCAUAGGUUAAUGAGGCGAACCGGGGGAACUGAAACAUCUAAGUACCCCGAGUAAAAGAAAUCAACCGAGAUUCCCCCAGUAGCGGCGAGCGAACGGGAGCAGCCCAGAGCCUGAAUCAGUGUGUGUGUUAGUGGAAGCGUCUGGAAAGGCGCGCGAUACAGGGUGACAGCCCCAUACACAAAAAUGCACAUGCUGUGAGCUCGAUGAGCAGGGCGGGACACGUGGUAUCCUGUCUGAAUAUGGGGGGACCAUCCUCCAAGGCUAAAUACUCCUGACUGACCGAUAGUGAACCAGUACCGUGAGGGAAAGGCGAAAAGAACCCCGGCGAGGGGAGUGAAAAAGAACCUGAAACCGUGUACGUACAAGCAGUGGGAGCACGCUUAGGCGUGUGAUUGCGUACCUUUUGUAUAAUGGGUCAGCGACUUAUAUUCUGUAGCAAGGUUAACCGAAUAGGGGAGCCGAAGGGAAACCGAGUCUUAACUGGGCGUUAAGUUGCAGGGUAUAGACCCGAAACCCGGUGAUCUAGCCAUGGGCAGGUUGAAGGUUGGGUAACACUAACUGGAGGACCGAACCGACUAAUGUUGAAAAAUUAGCGGAUGACUUGUGGCUGGGGGUGAAAGGCCAAUCAAACCGGGAGAUAGCUGGUUCUCCCCGAAAGCUAUUUAGGUAGCGCCUCGUGAAUUCAUCUCCGGGGGUAGAGCACUGUUUCGGCAAGGGGGUCAUCCCGACUUACCAACCCGAUGCAAACUGCGAAUACCGGAGAAUGUUAUCACGGGAGACACACGGCGGGUGCUAACGUCCGUCGUGAAGAGGGAAACAACCCAGACCGCCAGCUAAGGUCCCAAAGUCAUGGUUAAGUGGGAAACGAUGUGGGAAGGCCCAGACAGCCAGGAUGUUGGCUUAGAAGCAGCCAUCAUUUAAAGAAAGCGUAAUAGCUCACUGGUCGAGUCGGCCUGCGCGGAAGAUGUAACGGGGCUAAACCAUGCACCGAAGCUGCGGCAGCGACGCUUAUGCGUUGUUGGGUAGGGGAGCGUUCUGUAAGCCUGCGAAGGUGUGCUGUGAGGCAUGCUGGAGGUAUCAGAAGUGCGAAUGCUGACAUAAGUAACGAUAAAGCGGGUGAAAAGCCCGCUCGCCGGAAGACCAAGGGUUCCUGUCCAACGUUAAUCGGGGCAGGGUGAGUCGACCCCUAAGGCGAGGCCGAAAGGCGUAGUCGAUGGGAAACAGGUUAAUAUUCCUGUACUUGGUGUUACUGCGAAGGGGGGACGGAGAAGGCUAUGUUGGCCGGGCGACGGUUGUCCCGGUUUAAGCGUGUAGGCUGGUUUUCCAGGCAAAUCCGGAAAAUCAAAGGCUGAGGCGUGAUGACGAGGCACUACGGUGCUGAAGCAACAAAUGCCCUGCUUCCAGGAAAAGCCUCUAAGCAUCAGGUAACAUCAAAUCGUACCCCAAACCGACACAGGUGGUCAGGUAGAGAAUACCAAGGCGCUUGAGAGAACUCGGGUGAAGGAACUAGGCAAAAUGGUGCCGUAACUUCGGGAGAAGGCACGCUGAUAUGUAGGUGAAGUCCCUCGCGGAUGGAGCUGAAAUCAGUCGAAGAUACCAGCUGGCUGCAACUGUUUAUUAAAAACACAGCACUGUGCAAACACGAAAGUGGACGUAUACGGUGUGACGCCUGCCCGGUGCCGGAAGGUUAAUUGAUGGGGUCAGCGCAAGCGAAGCUCUUGAUCGAAGCCCCGGUAAACGGCGGCCGUAACUAUAACGGUCCUAAGGUAGCGAAAUUCCUUGUCGGGUAAGUUCCGACCUGCACGAAUGGCGUAAUGAUGGCCAGGCUGUCUCCACCCGAGACUCAGUGAAAUUGAACUCGCUGUGAAGAUGCAGUGUACCCGCGGCAAGACGGAAAGACCCCGUGAACCUUUACUAUAGCUUGACACUGAACAUUGAGCCUUGAUGUGUAGGAUAGGUGGGAGGCUUUGAAGUGUGGACGCCAGUCUGCAUGGAGCCGACCUUGAAAUACCACCCUUUAAUGUUUGAUGUUCUAACGUUGACCCGUAAUCCGGGUUGCGGACAGUGUCUGGUGGGUAGUUUGACUGGGG
Molecule: ribosomal RNA, 2240 nt
Filed under: Escherichia coli DEC15A
Lineage: Bacteria; Pseudomonadati; Pseudomonadota; Gammaproteobacteria; Enterobacterales; Enterobacteriaceae
Description: bacterial LSU rRNA
Rfam family: Bacterial large subunit ribosomal RNA
Source: RNAcentral